UACGGAGGGGGCUAGCGUUGUUCGGAAUUACUGGGCGUAAAGCGUACGCAGGCGGCUUUGUAAGUUAGAGGUGAAAGCCCGGGGCUCAACUCCGGAAUUGCCUUUAAGACUGCAUCGCUUGAACGUCGGAGAGGUAAAUGGAAUUCCGAGUGUAGAGGUGAAAUUCGUAGAUAUUCGGAAGAACACCGAUGGCGAAGGCGACUUACUGGACGACUGUUGACGCUGAGGUACGAAAGCGUGGGGAGCAAACAGG
This 253-nucleotide ribosomal RNA is filed under the name uncultured bacterium. Its description in RNAcentral is "partial 16S ribosomal RNA". It matches the Rfam family "Bacterial small subunit ribosomal RNA", at positions 524 to 776 of the family's 1533-position model. The record is from RNAcentral.